AUUGAACGCUGGCGGCAGGCCUAACACAUGCCAGUCGAGCGGAUGAAGGGAGCUUGCUCCUGGAUUCAGCGGCGGACGGGUGAGUAAUGCCUAGGAAUCUGCCUGGUAGUGGGGGAUAACGUCCGGAAACGGGCGCUAAUACCGCAUACGUCCUGAGGGAGAAAGUGGGGGAUCUUCGGACCUCACGCUAUCAGAUGAGCCUAGGUCGGAUUAGCUAGUUGGUGGGGUAAAGGCCUACCAAGGCUACGAUCCGUAACUGGUCUGAGAGGAUGAUCAGUCACACUGGCACUGAGACACGGUCCAGACUCCGACGGGAGGCAGCAGUGGGGAAUAUUGGACAAUGGGGCAAAGCCUGAUCCAGCCAUGCCGCGUGUGGGAAGAAGGUCUUCGGAUUGUAAAGCACUUUAAGUUGGGAGGAAGGGCAGUAAGUUAAUACCUUGCUGUUUUGACGUUACCAACAGAAUAAGCACCGGCUAACUUCGUG
This 484-nucleotide ribosomal RNA is filed under the name uncultured bacterium. Its description in RNAcentral is "partial 16S ribosomal RNA". It matches the Rfam family "Bacterial small subunit ribosomal RNA", at positions 30 to 507 of the family's 1533-position model. The record is from RNAcentral.